This 301-nucleotide ribosomal RNA is filed under the name uncultured bacterium. RNAcentral's name for it is "partial 16S ribosomal RNA". It matches the Rfam family "Bacterial small subunit ribosomal RNA", at positions 509 to 809 of the family's 1533-position model. The record is from RNAcentral.
CAGUCGCCGCGGGAACACGAAGGGGGCUAGCGUUGUUCGGAUUUACUGGGCGUAAAGGGCGCGUAGGCGGACUGAUAAGUCAGGGGUGAAAUCCCAAGGCUCAACCUUGGAACUGCCUUUGAUACUGUUUGUCUUGAGUUCGAGAGAGGUAAGUGGAACUGCGAGUGUAGAGGUGAAAUUCGUAGAUAUUCGCAAGAACACCAGUGGCGAAGGCGGCUUACUGGCUCGAAACUGACGCUGAGGCGCGAAAGCGUGGGGAGCAAACAGGAUUAGAUACCCCCGUAGUCCCUGUCUCUUAUAA